UUUCCGUAGGUGAACCUGCGGAAGGAUCAUUAACAAAUCUAAACAAAUACUUGUCGAAUUGUCUCUCGUUGCUGUCUUUCUGAAGCAUUUCCUGCUCUCCUCAUCCCUCACAGUUGGGGGGGGGCAAACAAAACGCGGAUGUAAGACGGCAACGCAAUAUACUUUAAACUCUCUUUGAUUCAAUAUUAAACUAAAAUUUUGGAAACAAAAAUUCAAAUUACAAAUAACUUUUAACAAUGGAUCUCUUGGCUCCC
RNAcentral lists this unclassified non-coding RNA (254 nucleotides) under plant metagenome. RNAcentral describes it as "partial contains small subunit ribosomal RNA, internal transcribed spacer 1, and 5.8S ribosomal RNA". The record is from RNAcentral.